CCUACGGGAGGCAGCAGUGGGGAAUAUUGGGCAAUGGACGCAAGUCUGACCCAGCAACGCCGCGUGACGGAAGAAGGCUUUCGGGUUGUAAACUUCUUUUAAGGGGGAAGAGCAGAAGACGGUACCCCUUGAAUAAGCCACGGCUAACUACGUGCCAGCAGCCGCGGUAAUACGUAGGUGGCAAGCGUUUUCCGGAUUUACUGGGUGUACAGGGCGUGCAGCCGGGAAGACAAGUCAGAUGUGAAAUCCCGCGGCGCAACCGCGGAACUGCAUUUGAAACUGUUUUUCUUGAGUAUCGGAGAGGUAAUCGGAAUUCCUAGUGUAGCGGUGAAAUGCGUAGAUAUCGCGCAGAACUCCGAUUGCGAAGGCAGCAGGCCGGCUCCACACUGACGCUGAGGCACGAAAGCGUGGGUAUCGAACAGGAUUAGAUACCCGUGUAGUC
RNAcentral lists this ribosomal RNA (442 nucleotides) under uncultured bacterium. RNAcentral describes it as "partial 16S ribosomal RNA". It matches the Rfam family "Bacterial small subunit ribosomal RNA", at positions 338 to 795 of the family's 1533-position model. The record is from RNAcentral.